CGAACGAUGAUGCCAGCUUGCUGGUGGAUUAGUGGCGAACGGGUGAGUAACACGUGAGUAACCUGCCCUUGACUCUGGGAUAAGCCUGGGAAACUGGGUCUAAUACCGGAUAUGACCUUCCAUCGCAUGGUGGUUGGUGGAAAGCUUUUGUGGUUUUGGAUGGACUCGCGGCCUAUCAGCUUGUUGGUGGGGUAAUGGCCUACCAAGGCGACGACGGGUAGCCGGCCUGAGAGGGUGACCGGCCACACUGGGACUGAGACACGGCCCAGACUCCUACGGGAGGCAGCAGUGGGGAAUAUUGCACAAUGGGCGCAAGCCUGAUGCAGCGACGCCGCGUGAGGGAUGACGGCCUUCGGGUUGUAAACCUCUUUCAGUAGGGAAGAAGCGAAAGUGACGGUACCUGCAGAAGAAGCGCCGGCUAACUACGUGCCAGCAGCCGCGGUAAUACGUAGGGCGCAAGCGUUAUCCGGAAUUAUUGGGCGUAAAGAGCUCGUAGGCGGUUUGUCGCGUCUGCCGUGAAAGUCCGGGGCUCAACUCCGGAUCUGCGGUGGGUACGGGCAGACUAGAGUGAUGUAGGGGAGACUGGAAUUCCUGGUGUAGCGGUGAAAUGCGCAGAUAUCAGGAGGAACACCG
Molecule: ribosomal RNA, 633 nt
Filed under: Arthrobacter sp. TN103A
Lineage: Bacteria; Bacillati; Actinomycetota; Actinomycetes; Micrococcales; Micrococcaceae
Description: bacterial SSU rRNA
Rfam family: Bacterial small subunit ribosomal RNA
Source: RNAcentral